Molecule: ribosomal RNA, 400 nt
Filed under: uncultured bacterium
Lineage: Bacteria
Description: bacterial SSU rRNA
Rfam family: Bacterial small subunit ribosomal RNA
Source: RNAcentral
GGGAAUCUUGCACAAUGGGGGCAACCCUGAUGCAGCGACGCCGCGUGAGCGAUGAAGCCCUUCGGGGCGUAAAGCUCUUUCGACCGGAACGAUAAUGACGGUACCGGGAGAAGAAGCUGCGGCUAACUCCGUGCCAGCAGCCGCGGUAAUACGUAGGCAGCAAGCGUUGUUCGGAGUUACUGGGCGUAAAGAGUGCGUAGGCGGUUUUCUAAGUUCGGUGUGAAAUCUCCCGGCUUAACGGGGAGGGUGCGCCGAAGACUGGGAAGCUGGAGUGUGGGAAAGGCAGGCGGAAUUCCUGGUGUAGCGGUGAAAUGCGUAGCUAUCAGGAGGAACACCGGCGGUGUAGACGGCUUGCUAGACCAUAACUGACGCUGAGGCACGAAAGCGUGGGUAGCAAACA